UACAGAGGUCCCAAGCGUUGUUCGGAUUUAUUGGGCGUAAAGGGCGCGUAGGCGGCUUGUCAAGUCACUUGUGAAAUCUCUGGGCUUAACCCAGAACGGCCAAGUGAAACUGACAUGCUAGAGUGCAGAAGGGGCAAUCGGAAUUCUUGGUGUAGCGGUGAAAUGCGUAGAUAUCAAGAGGAACACCUGAGGUGAAGACGGGUUGCUGGGCUGACACUGACGCUGAGGCGCGAAAGCCAGGGGAGCAAACGGG
This 253-nucleotide ribosomal RNA is filed under the name uncultured bacterium. RNAcentral describes it as "partial 16S ribosomal RNA". It matches the Rfam family "Bacterial small subunit ribosomal RNA", at positions 524 to 776 of the family's 1533-position model. The record is from RNAcentral.